RNAcentral lists this ribosomal RNA (484 nucleotides) under uncultured bacterium. RNAcentral's name for it is "SSU rRNA". It matches the Rfam family "Bacterial small subunit ribosomal RNA", at positions 26 to 521 of the family's 1533-position model. The record is from RNAcentral.
AGGAUAAACGCUGGCGGCGUGCCUAACACAUGCAAGUCGAACGCGCUUGCUAUCCGCGAGGAGGGUGAGCGAGUGGCGGACGGGUGAGGAACACGUGGGUGACCUACCUUUCAGUGAGGGAUACCGGCGAGAAAUUGCCGACAAGACCGCAUACGCUUCUCUUUUCAAGGGGAGAAGGAAAGCUUUUCGCAAGAGAGGCGCUGGGAGAUGGGCCUGCGGCCGAUUAGCUAGCUGGUGGGGUAAUGGCCUACCAGGGCGACGAUCGGUAGCUGGUCUGAGAGGACGAUCAGCCACACUGGGAUUGAGAACGGCCCAGACUCCUACGGGGGGCAGCAGUGAGGAAUUUUCGGCAAUGGGGGCAACCCUGACCGAGCAACGCCGCGUGCAGGACGACGGCCUUCGGGUUGUAAACUGCUUUUCUCUGGGACGAGCAAGGACGGUACCAGAGGAAGAGCCCGGCUAACUACGCGCCAGCAGCCGCGGU